UAUUGGCUUUUUUUCUAAUAA
RNAcentral lists this non-coding RNA (21 nucleotides) under Caenorhabditis elegans. The record is from RNAcentral. Lineage: Eukaryota; Metazoa; Nematoda; Chromadorea; Rhabditida; Rhabditidae.